GCCGAGGUAGCUCAGUGGUAGAGCGCGGCUCUGAAAAAGCCGGCGUCGGCGGUUCAAUUCCGCCCCUCGGCACCA
This 75-nucleotide transfer RNA is filed under the name Candidatus Woykebacteria bacterium RBG_13_40_15. RNAcentral describes it as "tRNA-Phe". It matches the Rfam family "tRNA". Rfam says of the family: Transfer RNA (tRNA) molecules are approximately 80 nucleotides in length. Their secondary structure includes four short double-helical elements and three loops (D, anti-codon, and T loops). The record is from RNAcentral. Lineage: Bacteria; Candidatus Woykeibacteriota.